UCUUUCCAGAAGCAUCUAGAAGCUUUCAAGAUUCUCCAUACCAUCAUCACCAACAACCGUUAGCAACAGUGAUGAAUGAUCCGUACCACCACUGUAGUACUGAUCAUAAUAAGAUUGAUCAUCAUCACACAUACUCAUCCUCAUCAUCAUCUCAACAUCUUCAUCAUGAUCAUGAUCAUAGACAGCAACAGUGUUUUGUUUUGGGCGCCGACAUGUUCAACAAACCUACAAGAAGUGUCCUUGCAAACUCAUCAA
Molecule: small RNA, 255 nt
Filed under: Arabidopsis thaliana (thale cress)
Lineage: Eukaryota; Viridiplantae; Streptophyta; Magnoliopsida; Brassicales; Brassicaceae
Description: ATSL137830
Source: RNAcentral